AGGUCUUGUAGUUUAUUUAAAAUAUGAAGUUGCAAACUUUAGGAUACAUUAUAAUGUGUUAAGACUUU
This 68-nucleotide transfer RNA is filed under the name Todarodes pacificus (Japanese flying squid). RNAcentral's name for it is "tRNA-Cys". Lineage: Eukaryota; Metazoa; Mollusca; Cephalopoda; Oegopsida; Ommastrephidae. The record is from RNAcentral.